GUCUUUUUGAUAAUAAUUUAAAGUCUGGCCUGCCCACUGAGGAGUUAAAUGGCCGCGGUAUUUUGACCGUGCAAAGGUAGCAUAAUCAUUAGUUUUUUAAUUGAAAGCUGGUAUGAAAGGUUGAAUGAAAAAAUAGCUGUCUCUAAUUAAUUUUUUUAGAAUUUUAUUUUUAAGUUAAAAAGCUUAAAUGAGUUUAAAAGACGAGAAGACCCUAUAGAGUUUUAUAAAACAUUAUUUUUACGCUUUUAGUAUUAAUAACUUAAAAAUAUAGUUUUAUUUGAUUGGGGUGAUUGAAAAAUUUAAUAAACUUUUUUUAUAUUUAUUCAUUUAUUUAUGAUUAAUUGAUCCUAUUUUUUAGAUUAUAAGAUAAAAUUACCUUAGGGAUAACAGCGUAAUUUUUUUUGAGAGUUCAAAUCGAAAAAAAAGAUUGCGACCUCGAUGUUGGAUUAAAGUUAAUUUUUGGUGUAGAAGCUAAAAAAUUAGGUCUGUUCGACCUUUAAAACUUUACA
Molecule: ribosomal RNA, 509 nt
Filed under: Anthonaeus agavensis
Lineage: Eukaryota; Metazoa; Arthropoda; Insecta; Coleoptera; Kateretidae
Description: partial 16S ribosomal RNA
Rfam family: Bacterial large subunit ribosomal RNA
Source: RNAcentral